This 465-nucleotide ribosomal RNA is filed under the name uncultured bacterium. RNAcentral describes it as "bacterial SSU rRNA". It matches the Rfam family "Bacterial small subunit ribosomal RNA", at positions 338 to 795 of the family's 1533-position model. The record is from RNAcentral.
CCUACGGGCGGCACCAGUAGGGAAUCUUCGGCAAUGGACGAAAGUCUGACCGAGCAACGCCGCGUGAGUGAAGAAGGUUUUCGGAUCGUAAAACUCUGUUGUUAGAGAAGAACAAGUAGGAGAGUAACUGCUCUUACCUUGACGGUAUCUAACCAGAAAGCCACGGCUAACUACGUGCCAGCAGCCGCGGUAAUACGAAGGUGGCAAGCGUUGUCCGGAUUUAUUGGGCGUAAAGCGAGCGCAGGCGGUCUUUUAAGUCUGGUGUGAAAGCCCUCGGCUCAACCGAGGAAGGUCAUUGGAAACUGGAGGACUUGAGUGCUGAAGAGGAGAGUGGAAUUCCAUGUGUAGCGGUGAAAUGCGUAGAGAUAUGGAGGAACACCAGUGGCGAAGGCGGCUUCCUGGCCUGUAACUGACGCUGAGGCGCGAAAGCGUGGGGAGCAAACAGGAUUAGAUACCCUUGUAGUC